UCAAAAACAUGUCCUUUUGUUAAUAAUUUAAGGUCUGACCUGCCCAAUGAAUAUUUAAAUGGCCGCAGUAUUUUGACUGUGCAAAGGUAGCAUAAUCAUUAGUUUUUUAAUUGUAAGCUGGAAUGAAUGGUUUGAUGAGAAAAUAACUGUCUCAAUUUAAUUGUUUUAGAAUUUUAAUUUUAAGUGAAAAAGCUUAAAUUUUUAAGGAAGACGAGAAGACCCUAUAGAGUUUAAUAAUUUUAUAUUAUGAUUGGUUUUAGAUUUAUUUAAAAUUUUAAUGUAUAAUUAUUUUAUUGGGGUGAUAUUAAAAUUUAAUAAACUUUUAAUUUAUUUAAACAUUUUUUGUGAUUAUUUGAUCCUAAUUUUUAGAUUAUAAGAUAAAAUUACCUUAGGGAUAACAGCGUAAUUUUUUUUGAGAGUUCUUAUCAAAAGAAAAGUUUGCGACCUCGAUGU
This 453-nucleotide ribosomal RNA is filed under the name Callyntra servillei. RNAcentral's name for it is "partial large subunit ribosomal RNA". It matches the Rfam family "Bacterial large subunit ribosomal RNA", at positions 1807 to 2532 of the family's 2925-position model. The record is from RNAcentral. Lineage: Eukaryota; Metazoa; Arthropoda; Insecta; Coleoptera; Tenebrionidae.